RNAcentral lists this ribosomal RNA (297 nucleotides) under uncultured bacterium. RNAcentral's name for it is "partial 16S ribosomal RNA". It matches the Rfam family "Bacterial small subunit ribosomal RNA", at positions 335 to 647 of the family's 1533-position model. The record is from RNAcentral.
GUCCUACGGGACGCAGCAGUGGGGAAUAUUGGGCAAUGGGCGCAAGCCUGACCCAGCAACGCCGCGUGAAGGAAGAAGGCUUUCGGGUUGUAAACUUCUUUUAUCAGGGACGAAACAAAUGACGGUACCUGAUGAAUAAGCCACGGCUAACUACGUGCCAGCAGCCGCGGUAAUACGUAGGUGGCAAGCGUUAUCCGGAUUUACUGGGUGUAAAGGGCGUGUAGGCGGGACUGCAAGUCUGGUGUGCAACCCCUGGGCUCAACCCAUGGCCUGCAUUUGAAACUGUUGUUCUUGAGU